GGUGGUCUUGGGAUUUUGGGGAGAUCGCGAUCUGGGCAUAACAAUUUAAAAUAAAUAAGUCGACUUGUGUUACACAAUUGGCUACAGACCCCAAAUAACAAAGAAAUACAGAAGCAAAAUUUCAAAGUAAGAUAUUUACCGAAUGCCUGCAGUGGGCAAAUCACUUCUUGAGCUAUUGAAGUUCCAAUAGGAUUGGAGUCAGACAAUAGCUAUUGCUUUCAUGGAGCUUGCAUACCACCAUGGGAAAGAGCAAUAAAGAAGACAAUAAUAAAUAAAACGAGUUACACAGGCAGUAGAGCUAAAGACGAAUAAAGCAAAGAAGGAUAUAAACAUCCAUAGGCCACCUUCAGUCCUUGGCUGAUGGCCCCAUUCAUCCAUUUUCAAAGCCAGCAAAGUAGAGGUGAAUUUGAACUGAAAAUAAGUAUAUCAACUCUUCAUCGGAACAUCACAGAGAAGUUUCUGCUAGCUUUGAGAACUGAGGAAGAUGAAGAGGAAAUAAGACUGCUGUUCUGAAAUUGUGAAUAUUAGUAAUGGGAAACCUCACUAAAAUGGAAUCAGGAUUCAGCAGGAGGAGGUCUCACACUCUCACUAGUAUUCAAUUUCAGACCCAAUAGGAAGAGAUGGACUUGACCCUACAGGGACUUGAACUUGCAUCAGAUAUAACUUUACUAUUCCAGCCUGAGGAAGAAACACUUUGCUUAUCCACCUGGACAACAGCUCAGCCAAUGAGAAGCCACCAUACUUCAAACUUCCAGUUGACUCCAAUGGACUUUUAGAUUUUAGCAGCCUUCCCAACUUACCCCUUGUAAUAAAGCAUGCCUCUCCUUUGUUUCUGGGACAUGGGUAUGGUUUUGCAAAGUUUGUUUCUUCCAAAUUGCAAUUAUCUCUCUCUUUUUAAGUUUAUUUAUUUAUUU
This is a long non-coding RNA of Hyaena hyaena (striped hyena), 914 nucleotides long. RefSeq lists it as uncharacterized. The transcript has 4 exons. The record is from RefSeq and is a predicted model, not a curated record. Lineage: Eukaryota; Metazoa; Chordata; Mammalia; Carnivora; Hyaenidae.